CAGUAGUCACGUAGUUUGAUCCGUGGCUCAGGAUGAACGCUAGCGCAGGCCUAAUACAUGCAAGUCGAACGGUAAGGCCCGUUUCGGGGGUACACGAGUGGCGAACGGGUGAGUAAUGCAUCGGAACGUGCCCAGUAGGUGGGGGAUACGGCCCGGCGAAAGCCGGAUUAAUACCGCAUACGACCUACGGGUGAAAGCGGGGGACCGUAAGGCCUCGCGCUAUUGGAGCGGCCGAUGUCAGAUUAGGUAGUUGGUGGGGUAAAGGCCUACCAAGCCUUCGAUCUGUAGCUGGUCUGAGAGGACGACCAGCCACACUGGGACUGAGACACGGCCCAGACUCCUACGGGAGGCAGCAGUGGGGAAUUUUGGACAAUGGGCGCAAGCCUGAUCCAGCCAUGCCGCGUGCGGGAAGAAGGCCUUCGGGUUGUAAACCGCUUUUGUCAGGGAAGAAACGCUCCGGGCUAAUACCCUGGGGUAAUGACGGUACCUGAAGAAUAAGCACCGGCUAACUACGUG
RNAcentral lists this ribosomal RNA (516 nucleotides) under uncultured bacterium. RNAcentral's name for it is "bacterial SSU rRNA". It matches the Rfam family "Bacterial small subunit ribosomal RNA", at positions 1 to 507 of the family's 1533-position model. The record is from RNAcentral.